UAGGUACGCUGGCUUAGUGAUCGGCCUACCCGAAUAUUGGAGUAAUAAUUAUGUCACUAACUGUUGCAGAAAAAGCACAAAUCGUUGCGGAUUACGCAUUGCAAGAA
Molecule: regulatory RNA element, 107 nt
Organism: Gammaproteobacteria bacterium
Lineage: Bacteria; Pseudomonadati; Pseudomonadota; Gammaproteobacteria
Rfam family: Ribosomal S15 leader
About the family: The E. coli Ribosomal S15 gene 5' UTR can form two alternative structures. One that is a series of three hairpins, The other includes a pseudoknot. This structure causes translational regulation of the S15 protein.
Source: Rfam